Molecule: ribosomal RNA, 225 nt
Filed under: Florenciella parvula
Lineage: Eukaryota; Dictyochophyceae; Florenciellales
Description: partial Eukaryotic large subunit ribosomal RNA
Rfam family: Eukaryotic large subunit ribosomal RNA
Source: RNAcentral
ACAACCUUAACCUUUUCUCAAACUUUAAAUAUGUAAGAAGUCCUUGUUACUUAAUUGAACGUGGACAUGCGAAUGAGAGUUUCUAGUGGGCCAUUUUUGGUAAGCAGAACUGGCGAUGCGGGAUGAACCGAUCGUGAGGUUAAGGUGCCGGAAUACACGCUCAUCAGACACCACAAAAGGUGUUAGUACAUCCAGACAGUUGGACGGUGGCCAUGGAAGUCGGAA